This 479-nucleotide long non-coding RNA is filed under the name Heterocephalus glaber (naked mole-rat). Its description in RNAcentral is "lncRNA (ENSHGLG00000040267.1)". The record is from RNAcentral. Lineage: Eukaryota; Metazoa; Chordata; Mammalia; Rodentia; Bathyergidae.
UGCCAGUCAGCCUGGAAUACACCCCUGCUUCCUGUGAGGAAGCCUGGCACCUCAGACUUCAGACUGGUACAGGAUUUGUGGGAGCCUGCCUCUAGCACCUGUGAGCCAGCCCCUCUUUGCCUUCAAAUGGACUGACCCAGACACCGGAACUACCAGACAGCUGACAUGAACCCGGCUGCUGCAGGGAUUCAAAAACUCCCCCACUCUGUUUGGGGAAGCUCUCAGCAAAGAUUUACAAGAGGUAAGAAAAAAAAAACCUGAAUACACAGAUAAAGAAGUAGCAGAAAUGAACAGGAGACACUGGACUCGAGGAAAACAUGGAUGGUGGAGGACUAAGGAUGGAAAGGUGGUGCUCCCAGCCGCUGUAGCAGAUACAUUGCUGCGAGAACUACAUGAGUCCACCCACCUCGGCGAGAAAAGGAUGAUGGCUGCCCUGCGACCUCAUUUUGUCAGCGAGGGAUUAGCCCAAAAGGCCCAGG